This 497-nucleotide ribosomal RNA is filed under the name uncultured bacterium. RNAcentral's name for it is "partial 16S ribosomal RNA". It matches the Rfam family "Bacterial small subunit ribosomal RNA", at positions 28 to 507 of the family's 1533-position model. The record is from RNAcentral.
GAUGAACGCUGGCGGCGUGCCUAAUACAUGCAAGUCGAGCGAACAGACGAGGAGCUUGCUCCUCUGACGUUAGCGGCGGACGGGUGAGUAACACGUGGAUAACCUACCUAUAAGACUGGGAUAACUUCGGGAAACCGGAGCUAAUACCGGAUAAUAUAUUGAACCGCAUGGUUCAAUAGUGAAAGACGGUUUUGCUGUCACUUAUAGAUGGAUCCGCGCCGCAUUAGCUAGUUGGUAAGGUAACGGCUUACCAAGGCAACGAUGCGUAGCCGACCUGAGAGGGUGUUCGGCCAACCUGGAACUGAGAACCGGCCCAGACUCCUACGGGAGGCAGCGGUAGGGAAUCUUCCGCAAUGGGCGAAAGCCUGACGGAGCAACGCCGCGUGAGGGAUGAAGGUCUUCGGAUCGUAAAACUCUGUUAUUAGGGAGGAACAAAUGUGUAAGUAACUAGGCACGUCUUGACGGUACCUAAUCAGAAAGCCACGGCUAACUACGUG